UGAUGCGGAGGAGGAGGAGGACAUCUUUCUCAUUUACAAUCAUGCUUCAUCUGCAGACAUUCUCCGGUCCCCGCACACCCCACUGACCUCACCCAUUGGGGCGAAAUGAGGCAUGAAAGGAUCCGGAACGUUCGCACGUGUUCACGCCGUCCGCCGGCGGUCUACGCGCUAGGGUGAGUGCGAUAGAUUUCCGCACCAAUCAUACAACUAUGCAUACGCGAACGCGUUUCCAAUGCUAACAUGACUUUCCCGGAGAGUGGUUGACUAGGAGCGCAAAACUUUCGACCUGAAAGACGACACCCAGUAGGCAACGAACUGCUCGCGCGUCAGCAAAAAGCACGUGUCUGUUACGCUGCUCCCUGCUCUGCUCCAGUGUAGUGACUUUUUCGCGAAAUUGCUUCCCUAUCCGCAUAAUCUAAUAUGCUGGACGAGAGGCGCAAAACCAUCACCAAGAGAAGAAGAGAGUAGCGGCGUAAAUUGCAAAGUUUUGUACGAGCACGAAAUGGCAAUUUUCUACAGUGAGCAACAAAAGUUCGUUCCCGCCAGGGGUAGGAGCUCAAGAAAAAACGCGCUCAUCCGCCUCGAAGGACUAAACUCGAGUGGCGCUUUCUCGCUCACAAACCGUACCAUUCAUUGCCAAUCAAUCACAAUCGGGAAGGGAAAUGAAAUGAAAAGCAUCAUUAAUUACACAAUUGCGCACUCACAACCUCCAUCAUUACACCUUCCAGUGGGUAAGAGCAUUUAUUCCUUCAAUCUAUUCAAGAAAAUUCCAAACCAACGUCGAUCCACGUUUUGAAGACAACUUUAACCAACAGGCGCAUGUGUUUGUUAGCAAACAGGGAACGGAAGUUUGCUCUGUUGGAGCAUUCCCAGGAGGAUUAACACAUUUUUAUCAAAAUAAUUGCUUUCCUAGAAAAGCGCUGCAAAAUUCCCAACACAACCUCACACUCAUCAAUCCAAUCGCUUUGCUUGGAGAGUUUUGUGUGAUACGAUUGGUAGUAAUAUUUAAUGGGGAUUUCCUGUAAAUUGUGUCCCACUGUCUCACACCACUCAUAUGUCAUCAUCAUCGUCAUCAUCAUCAUUAUCGAGAAGCAUUCAGUCGGAACACACCGGAAUACAUCACCAGAGGACGGCGAUGGCAUUCAGUUCAGAAGGGAGGCAAAUGUUUAGAUUUAUUGUGCAUCAAACCGCAUCAAACGGGCGCAAAACAAGGGUAGAAAACGUGCGUAUGUGCAUUUACAUGCUCUACCCACAGUGUAGUAAAGAGCGCAGCUGGUUCAUCGCAUGGAGUUCCAGUAGAAUAGAGGACUGCAUGACACAUUUGCUCCCUGGCUGCUCGGGGGCCCCAAGUUUUGGUCGAUUUGGGGUGCACGAUGGCGAUGGGGCGCAAACGAUGGCGUCUUAUCACAACACAACCACGGACGCACUGAUUAAACAACCAACAACACACCGCGGCCAAUAAACUCGCGCAGAAGGUUAAACUACACCGCUACUGCUGAUGUAUGAACCGGUCCGGCGUAAUGUAGCGACUUUUUUCACCCCUUUUUUAAUCCUUUCCUCAUCCACCU
Long non-coding RNA from Anopheles merus, 1568 nucleotides. RefSeq lists it as uncharacterized. The transcript is spliced from 3 exons. The record is from RefSeq and is a predicted model, not a curated record. NCBI's taxonomy places the organism in Eukaryota, Metazoa, Arthropoda, Insecta, Diptera, Culicidae.